GAAUGUGAGGGCAAUCUGGCUGUGACAUCUGUCACCCCAUUGAUCGCCAGGGUUGAUUCGGCUGAUCUGGCUGGCUAGGCGGAUGUCCCCUUCCUCCUUCACGGCUCCAUGUGUGUCCCUCCCGACGCUGCGUGCUCGGUGGAAGAGGACAACCAUCCCCCAUCCCCGAGGACCAGAGGAGGAGGACGGGUCUUCGGUCAAGGGUAUACCAGUAGCUGUGCUCCCCUGCUAGAACCUCCAAACAAGCUCUCAAGAAUAUCCUCCUUUAGUUUCACUGUGUGAAUGUUUAGAGUGCUAUAUGAUUAGUCAUGUCCAAAUGUACUUUUU
RNAcentral lists this small nuclear RNA (327 nucleotides) under Dipodomys ordii (Ord's kangaroo rat). RNAcentral's name for it is "7SK RNA". It matches the Rfam family "7SK RNA". From Rfam's summary of the family: 7SK was discovered as an abundant small nuclear RNA in the mid-70s but a possible function has only recently been suggested. Two independent studies have found that 7SK RNA binds the CDK9/cyclin T complex (known as elongation factor P-TEFb). Lineage: Eukaryota; Metazoa; Chordata; Mammalia; Rodentia; Heteromyidae. The record is from Rfam by way of RNAcentral.